GAGGACCGGAGUGGACGCAUCACUGGUGUUCGGGUUGUCAUGCCAAUGGCACUGCCCGGUAGCUAAAUGCGGAAGAGAUAAGUGCUGAAAGCAUCUAAGCACGAAACUUGCCCCGAGAUGAGUUCUCCCUGAGACUUAGAGUCUCCUGAAGGAACGUUGAAGACGACGACGUUGAUAGGCCGGGUGUGUAAGCGCAGCGAUGCGUUGAGCUAACCGGUACUAAUGAACCGUGAGGCUUAACCUU
Molecule: ribosomal RNA, 244 nt
Filed under: Escherichia coli
Lineage: Bacteria; Pseudomonadati; Pseudomonadota; Gammaproteobacteria; Enterobacterales; Enterobacteriaceae
Also listed under: 3 other names
Description: partial 23S ribosomal RNA
Rfam family: Bacterial large subunit ribosomal RNA
Source: RNAcentral